Molecule: transfer RNA, 62 nt
Filed under: Dypsocus coleoptratus
Lineage: Eukaryota; Metazoa; Arthropoda; Insecta; Psocodea; Caeciliusidae
Description: tRNA-Glu
Source: RNAcentral
GUUUAUAUAGUUUAUUCAAAAUAUUACUUUUUCAUAGUAAAGAAAUUUUUUAUUUAUAAAUA